Molecule: ribosomal RNA, 508 nt
Filed under: Cartodere nodifer
Lineage: Eukaryota; Metazoa; Arthropoda; Insecta; Coleoptera; Latridiidae
Description: partial 16S ribosomal RNA
Rfam family: Bacterial large subunit ribosomal RNA
Source: RNAcentral
GUCCUUUUGAUAAUAAUAUAAGGUCUAACCUGCCCACUGAUUAAUUAAAUGGCCGCGGUAUUUUGACCGUGCAAAGGUAGCAUAAUCAUUAGUUUUUUAAUUGAAAGCUAGAAUGAAUGGUUGAAUAAGAAAGGUUCUGUCUCAAUUUAAAUUUAUUAAAAUUUUAUUUUUAAGUGAAAAAGCUUAAAUUUAAUUUAAAGACGAGAAGACCCUAUAGAGUUUAAUAAAUAGUUUUUAUAUUUAGUUAAGGUUAAACUUUUUUUAUAAGAAAUAUUUAUUUGGUUGGGGUGACUUAAAAAUUAAUUUAACUUUUUUAUUUUUUUACAUUAAUUUAUGAAUAGUUGAUCCAUUUUUAUGAUUAAAAGAUUAAAUUACCUUAGGGAUAACAGCGUUAUUUUUUUUGAGAGUUCUUAUCGAUAAAAAAGAUUGCGACCUCGAUGUUGGAUUAAAAUUAAUAUUUGGUGUAGAAGCUAUAUUAUUGAGUCUGUUCGACUUUUAAAAUUUUACA